UUGGAGGGCAAGUCUGGUGCCAGCAGCCGCGGUAAUUCCAGCUCCAAUAGCGUAUAUUAAAGUUGUUGCAGUUAAAAAGCUCGUAGUUGAACUUCGGGGUUUACUUAUUGGUCAGGCUUAAUUGUCUGUACUGGUGAGAUGAAUCUCUACCUUCUGAGGAACUUUCAUGUCAUUUAUUUGGUGUGAUUGGAAAUCAGGGCUGUUACUUUGAAAAAAUUAGAGUGUUUAAAGCAGGCUAACGUCUGAAUACAUUAGCAUGGAAUAAUGAAAUAGGACGGACUGAUUCUAUUUCGUUGGUUUCUAGGAGCACCGUAAUGAUUAAUAGGGAUAGUUGGGGGCAUUAGUAUUCAAUUGUCAGAGGUGAAAUUCUUGGAUUUAUUGAAGACUAACUACUGCGAAAGCAUUUGCCAAGGAUGUUUUCAUUAAUCAAGAACGAAAGUUAGGGGAUCGAAGACGAUCAGAUACCGUCGUAGUCUUAACCAUAAACUAUGCCGACUAGGGAUCGGACGAAGUCAAUUUUAUAAUGACGCGUUCGGCGCCUUACGGGAAAC
This 551-nucleotide ribosomal RNA is filed under the name uncultured Glomeromycotina. RNAcentral describes it as "SSU rRNA". It matches the Rfam family "Eukaryotic small subunit ribosomal RNA", at positions 548 to 1098 of the family's 1831-position model. Lineage: Eukaryota; Fungi; Glomeromycota. The record is from RNAcentral.